UACGUAGGGAGCAAGCGUUGUUCGGAUUUACUGGGCGUAAAGGGCGCGUAGGCGGCGCGGUAAGUCACUUGUGAAAUCUCUGAGCUUAACUCAGAACGGCCAAGUGAUACUGCAGUGCUAGAGUGCAGAAUGGGCAAUCGGAAUUCUUGGUGUAGCGGUGAAAUGCGUAGAUAUCAAGAGGAACACCUGAGGCGAAGGCGGGUUGCUAGGCUGACACUGACGCUGAGUGCGCGAAAGCCAGGGGAGCAAACGGG
Molecule: ribosomal RNA, 254 nt
Filed under: uncultured bacterium
Lineage: Bacteria
Description: partial 16S ribosomal RNA
Rfam family: Bacterial small subunit ribosomal RNA
Source: RNAcentral